This 68-nucleotide small nuclear RNA is filed under the name Ailuropoda melanoleuca (giant panda). Its description in RNAcentral is "U4 spliceosomal RNA". It matches the Rfam family "U4 spliceosomal RNA", at positions 1 to 68 of the family's 138-position model. Rfam says of the family: U4 small nuclear RNA (U4 snRNA) is a component of the major U2-dependent spliceosome. The structure of U4 snRNA from yeast and human has been reported. The record is from Rfam by way of RNAcentral. Lineage: Eukaryota; Metazoa; Chordata; Mammalia; Carnivora; Ursidae.
AGCUUUGCGCAGUGGCAGUAUCAUAGCCAAUGAGGUUUAUCCGAGGUGCGAUUAUUGCUAAUUGAGAU